This is a non-coding RNA of Echria macrotheca, 89 nucleotides long. The record is from the annotation of a GenBank genome assembly. NCBI's taxonomy places the organism in Eukaryota, Fungi, Ascomycota, Sordariomycetes, Sordariales, Schizotheciaceae.
GGGAUUGUAGUAUAGUGGUCAGUACUUCUCGUUGUGGUUAUUCGACACAGCGAUCCGAGAGGACCCAGGUUCGAUUCCUGGCAAUCCCA